AUUCAUCUUCGGGGUCGGGUGCAAUUCCCAACCGGCAGUAAAUUUAAGCCUGCGACGAAAUAAUUCGAUAACACACGUAGUUGUCAUAUUAUUUCUUGAUUCAGUGAGAUUCUGAAGCCGACAGUAUAGUCUGGAUGGGAGAAGAUGGAG
This is a non-coding RNA of Staphylococcus capitis, 150 nucleotides long. The record is from Rfam. Lineage: Bacteria; Bacillati; Bacillota; Bacilli; Caryophanales; Staphylococcaceae.